RNAcentral lists this transfer RNA (87 nucleotides) under bacterium. RNAcentral's name for it is "tRNA-Ser". It matches the Rfam family "tRNA". Rfam says of the family: Transfer RNA (tRNA) molecules are approximately 80 nucleotides in length. Their secondary structure includes four short double-helical elements and three loops (D, anti-codon, and T loops). Further hydrogen bonds mediate the characteristic L-shaped molecular structure. tRNAs have two regions of fundamental functional importance: the anti-codon, which is responsible for specific mRNA codon recognition, and the 3' end, to which the tRNAs corresponding amino acid is attached (by aminoacyl-tRNA synthetases). tRNAs cope with the degeneracy of the genetic code in two manners: having more than one tRNA (with a specific anti-codon) for a particular amino acid; and 'wobble' base-pairing, i.e. permitting non-standard base-pairing at the 3rd anti-codon position. The record is from RNAcentral.
GGAGGGGUGCCAGAGUGGUCGAAUGGAACAGUCUUGAAAACUGUCGGGCCUGCAAAGGUCCCGUGGGUUCGAAUCCCACCCCCUCCG